Molecule: unclassified non-coding RNA, 358 nt
Filed under: Hevea brasiliensis (rubber tree)
Lineage: Eukaryota; Viridiplantae; Streptophyta; Magnoliopsida; Malpighiales; Euphorbiaceae
Source: RNAcentral
GCAGGAAACUGGAUUGAUAUACGGUAACAAGAACAAAGCUAAAAGAGCUGAAGAAUAGAGCUUCGCGAGAAUUCCAUGCCGUUCUGUAAGUUUAAUGAAUGCUCAGGGAAUUGUCUGCUCAUUGGCGUAUAGGGACCUUAUAUACUUAUACUUCUGAACUCAUUUUCUUUAUAGGGCCAAAUAAUUAUCUAUACCUAGAAAAGGAAAUCAUGUAAGCUUUAAGUUUUUGUGGAUAUAAUGUAGCAUGUUUUUUGUUUUCAAGGUGAGGUUCUUGAAUAGCAUUUACUGGUUUAUCAGCAUGAUGUUUUAUUUCCUUUUAUCUUUGCUCUACAUGAACAUUUUUGUUAAUUGUUCAAAA